RNAcentral lists this ribosomal RNA (481 nucleotides) under uncultured bacterium. RNAcentral's name for it is "partial 16S ribosomal RNA". It matches the Rfam family "Bacterial small subunit ribosomal RNA", at positions 28 to 523 of the family's 1533-position model. The record is from RNAcentral.
GACGAACGCUGGCGGCGUGCUUAACACAUGCAAGUCGAGCGGAAAGGCCACUUCGGUGGUACUCGAGCGGCGAACGGGUGAGUAACACGUGAGUAAUCUGCCCCUGGCUUUGGGAUAGCCACCGGAAACGGUGAUUAAUACCGGAUACGACCACUUCUCGCAUGGGAUGGUGGUGGAAAGUUUUUUCGGCCAGGGAUGUGCUCGCGGCCUAUCAGCUUGAUGGUGAGGUAAUGGCUCACCAUGGCUUCGACGGGUAGCCGGCCUGAGAGGGUGACCGGUCACACUGGGACUGAGACACGGCCCAGACUCCUACGGGAGGCAGCAGUGGGGAAUAUUGCACAAUGGGCGCAAGCCUGAUGCAGCGACGCCGCGUGAGGGAUGACGGCCUUCGGGUUGUAAACCUCUUUCAGCACCGACGAAGCGCAAGUGACGGUAGGUGCAGAAGAAGGACCGGCCAACUACGUGCCAGCCGCCGCAGUAA